This 109-nucleotide non-coding RNA is filed under the name Streptomyces sp. Its description in RNAcentral is "Glycine sequence". It matches the Rfam family "Glycine riboswitch aptamer". Rfam says of the family: This family represents the bacterial glycine riboswitch. The record is from RNAcentral. Lineage: Bacteria; Bacillati; Actinomycetota; Actinomycetes; Kitasatosporales; Streptomycetaceae. RNAcentral also lists the same sequence under 1 other name.
AGACCCUGUGCGGGAGAGUCCUUCUCAAGGCCCGAAAGGCCUUGGCGAAAGGCGCCGAAGGAGCAAAUCCUCCCCGGAAUCUCUCAGGCACACGUACCGCACGGACGAG